GAUGAACGCUGGCGGCGUGCCUAACACAUGCAAGUCGAGCGAACAGACGAGGAGCUUGCUCCCCUGACGUUAGCGGCGGACGGGUGAGUAACACGUGGAUAACCUACCUCUAAGACUGGGAUAACUUCGGGAAACCGGAGCUAAUACCGGAUAAUACAUUGAACCGCAUGGUUCCAUAGUGAAAGACGCUUUUGCUGUCAAUUAUAGCUGGAUCCGCGCCGCAUUAGCUAGUUGGUAAGGUAACGGCUUACCAAGGCAACGAUGCGUAGCCGACCUGAGAGGGGGAUCGGCCACACUGGAACUGAGACACGGUCCAGACUCCUACGGGAGGCAGCAGUAGGGAAUGUUCCGCAAUGGGCGAAAGCUUGACGGAGCGACGCCGCGUGAGUGAUGAAGGUCUUCGGUUCGUAAAACUCUGUUAUUGGGGAAGAACAACUGUGUGAGUAACUGUGCACGUCUUGACGGUACCUAAAGAAAAAGCCACGGCUAACUACGUG
RNAcentral lists this ribosomal RNA (497 nucleotides) under uncultured bacterium. RNAcentral's name for it is "partial 16S ribosomal RNA". It matches the Rfam family "Bacterial small subunit ribosomal RNA", at positions 28 to 507 of the family's 1533-position model. The record is from RNAcentral.